RNAcentral lists this ribosomal RNA (2382 nucleotides) under Escherichia coli. RNAcentral describes it as "partial 23S ribosomal RNA". It matches the Rfam family "Bacterial large subunit ribosomal RNA", at positions 483 to 2843 of the family's 2925-position model. The record is from RNAcentral. Lineage: Bacteria; Pseudomonadati; Pseudomonadota; Gammaproteobacteria; Enterobacterales; Enterobacteriaceae.
ACCGAUAGUGAACCAGUACCGUGAGGGAAAGGCGAAAAGAACCCCGGCGAGGGGAGUGAAAAAGAACCUGAAACCGUGUACGUACAAGCAGUGGGAGCACAGAGCAAUCUGUGUGACUGCGUACCUUUUGUAUAAUGGGUCAGCGACUUAUAUUCUGUAGCAAGGUUAACCGAAUAGGGGAGCCGAAGGGAAACCGAGUCUUAACUGGGCGUUAAGUUGCAGGGUAUAGACCCGAAACCCGGUGAUCUAGCCAUGGGCAGGUUGAAGGUUGGGUAACACUAACUGGAGGACCGAACCGACUAAUGUUGAAAAAUUAGCGGAUGACUUGUGGCUGGGGGUGAAAGGCCAAUCAAACCGGGAGAUAGCUGGUUCUCCCCGAAAGCUAUUUAGGUAGCGCCUCGUGAAUUCAUCUCCGGGGGUAGAGCACUGUUUCGGCAAGGGGGUCAUCCCGACUUACCAACCCGAUGCAAACUGCGAAUACCGGAGAAUGUUAUCACGGGAGACACACGGCGGGUGCUAACGUCCGUCGUGAAGAGGGAAACAACCCAGACCGCCAGCUAAGGUCCCAAAGUCAUGGUUAAGUGGGAAACGAUGUGGGAAGGCCCAGACAGCCAGGAUGUUGGCUUAGAAGCAGCCAUCAUUUAAAGAAAGCGUAAUAGCUCACUGGUCGAGUCGGCCUGCGCGGAAGAUGUAACGGGGCUAAACCAUGCACCGAAGCUGCGGCAGCGACGCUGAUGCGUUGUUGGGUAGGGGAGCGUUCUGUAAGCCUGUGAAGGUGUGCUGUGAGGCAUGCUGGAGGUAUCAGAAGUGCGAAUGCUGACAUAAGUAACGAUAAAGCGGGUGAAAAGCCCGCUCGCCGGAAGACCAAGGGUUCCUGUCCAACGUUAAUCGGGGCAGGGUGAGUCGACCCCUAAGGCGAGGCCGAAAGGCGUAGUCGAUGGGAAACAGGUUAAUAUUCCUGUACUUGGUGUUACUGCGAAGGGGGGACGGAGAAGGCUAUGUUGGCCGGGCGACGGUUGUCCCGGUUUAAGCGUGUAGGCUGGUUUUCCAGGCAAAUCCGGAAAACUAAGGCUGAGGCGUGAUGACGAGGCACUACGGUGCUGAAGCAACAAAUGCCCUGCUUCCAGGAAAAGCCUCUAAGCAUCAGGUAACAUCAAAUCGUACCCCAAACCGACACAGGUGGUCAGGUAGAGAAUACCAAGGCGCUUGAGAGAACUCGGGUGAAGGAACUAGGCAAAAUGGUGCCGUAACUUCGGGAGAAGGCACGCUGAUAUGUAGGUGAAGUCCCUCGCGGAUGGAGCUGAAAUCAGUCGAAGAUACCAGCUGGCUGCAACUGUUUAUUAAAAACACAGCACUGUGCAAACACGAAAGUGGACGUAUACGGUGUGACGCCUGCCCGGUGCCGGAAGGUUAAUUGAUGGGGUCAGCGCAAGCGAAGCUCUUGAUCGAAGCCCCGGUAAACGGCGGCCGUAACUAUAACGGUCCUAAGGUAGCGAAAUUCCUUGUCGGGUAAGUUCCGACCUGCACGAAUGGCGUAAUGAUGGCCAGGCUGUCUCCACCCGAGACUCAGUGAAAUUGAACUCGCUGUGAAGAUGCAGUGUACCCGCGGCAAGACGGAAAGACCCCGUGAACCUUUACUAUAGCUUGACACUGAACAUUGAGCCUUGAUGUGUAGGAUAGGUGGGAGGCUUUGAAGUGUGGACGCCAGUCUGCAUGGAGCCGACCUUGAAAUACCACCCUUUAAUGUUUGAUGUUCUAACGUUGACCCGUAAUCCGGGUUGCGGACAGUGUCUGGUGGGUAGUUUGACUGGGGCGGUCUCCUCCUAAAGAGUAACGGAGGAGCACGAAGGUUGGCUAAUCCUGGUCGGACAUCAGGAGGUUAGUGCAAUGGCAUAAGCCAGCUUGACUGCGAGCGUGACGGCGCGAGCAGGUGCGAAAGCAGGUCAUAGUGAUCCGGUGGUUCUGAAUGGAAGGGCCAUCGCUCAACGGAUAAAAGGUACUCCGGGGAUAACAGGCUGAUACCGCCCAAGAGUUCAUAUCGACGGCGGUGUUUGGCACCUCGAUGUCGGCUCAUCACAUCCUGGGGCUGAAGUAGGUCCCAAGGGUAUGGCUGUUCGCCAUUUAAAGUGGUACGCGAGCUGGGUUUAGAACGUCGUGAGACAGUUCGGUCCCUAUCUGCCGUGGGCGCUGGAGAACUGAGGGGGGCUGCUCCUAGUACGAGAGGACCGGAGUGGACGCAUCACUGGUGUUCGGGUUGUCAUGCCAAUGGCACUGCCCGGUAGCUAAAUGCGGAAGAGAUAAGUGCUGAAAGCAUCUAAGCACGAAACUUGCCCCGAGAUGAGUUCUCCCUGACUCCUUGAGAGUCCUGAAGGAACGUUGAAG